GGGAAGCUGCGGUCGCCACCGGGACCUGCAAAGGAAGUCUAAACUGGAGGUGGGGUUGCUCCGACAAGACCCUCCGAUGCUCAAGUCAGUUCUCUGCCUCAACAAGAAUGGAGUGCUCGAACGGAGAAUUUAGCAGAGUUUUGAGAUAAGAAAUGAGCUUAGAGAAUAACGUAUCUGGAUCCCCCUUUUUAUAGGCGGAGGAGGU
RNAcentral lists this long non-coding RNA (205 nucleotides) under Elaeis guineensis (African oil palm). RNAcentral describes it as "long non-coding RNA (EGUI_LNC049962)". Lineage: Eukaryota; Viridiplantae; Streptophyta; Magnoliopsida; Arecales; Arecaceae. The record is from RNAcentral.